GGUGAAGCAGAGCUUGCUCUGUGGACAGUGGCGAACGGGUGAGUAACACGUGAGCAAUCUGCCCCUGACUCUGGGAUAAGCGCUGGAAACGGCGUCUAAUACCGGAUACGAGCUGCGACCGCAUGGUCAGUAGCUGGAAAGAAUUUCGGUCAGGGAUGAGCUCGCGGCCUAUCAGCUUGUUGGUGAGGUAAUGGCUCACCAAGGCGUCGACGGGUAGCCGGCCUGAGAGGGUGACCGGCCACACUGGGACUGAGACACGGCCCAGACUCCUACGGGAGGCAGCAGUGGGGAAUAUUGCACAAUGGGCGCAAGCCUGAUGCAGCAACGCCGCGUGAGGGAUGACGGCCUUCGGGUUGUAAACCUCUUUUAGCAGGGAAGAAGCGAAAGUGACGGUACCUGCAGAAAAAGCGCCGGCUAACUACGUGCCAGCAGCCGCGGUAAUACGUAGGGCGCAAGCGUUAUCCGGAAUUAUUGGGCGUAAAGAGCUCGUAGGCGGUCUGUCGCGUCUGCUGUGAAAACCCGAGGCUCAACCUCGGGCCUGCAGUGGGUACGGGCAGACUAGAGUGCGGUAGGGGAGAUUGGAAUUCCUGGUGUAGCGGUGGGAAUGCGCAAAUUUCAGGAGGAACACCGAUGGCGAAGGCAGAUCUCUGGGCCGUACUGACGCUGAGGAGCGAAAGGGUGGGGAGCAA
This 689-nucleotide ribosomal RNA is filed under the name Microbacterium sp. GIC27or. Its description in RNAcentral is "bacterial SSU rRNA". It matches the Rfam family "Bacterial small subunit ribosomal RNA", at positions 68 to 771 of the family's 1533-position model. The record is from RNAcentral. Lineage: Bacteria; Bacillati; Actinomycetota; Actinomycetes; Micrococcales; Microbacteriaceae.